AGGCGUGCCAUCUACGUGACCUUCGAUAUUGCGUUUUUCCGGCCCCUAGAGUAUCGCGACAACAGAAAGAGGAACUCCUCAGAUUGCAGCUGCGACAGCGUCCUCUAGUGUAUGGAGACUGCACAGCACGAGCGGCGUGCACUGCCCUCUGGGUUCUGCGCUGGGGAGGCGCGGGCGCUGGCGGCUUGAGGUGCACCGUGGGGGGUGCCGGUGGUUUCCGUGGCUCUGGAGCCCGGAAGGGUUUAGCAAAAUACAUCCUGGUUAGAUGUGGCCCGAAAGCUUCAAGUGUGCAGCCCCCUGGAAGCCUGGCCCAUACAAGCUUGGUACUCAGCCAGAGGUAUGUUGACAUCUCUUAAGGUACCCUCUUACAAAAACUGCUAUGACCUUGGGGUACCUGGACGGCUCAGUCUGUUGAGCAUCAGACUCUUGAUAUCUGCUCAGGUCAUGAUCUCACAGUCAUGGGAUGGAACCCCUCAUCCAUGCUUGGGAUUCUCUCUCUCCCUCUUUCUCUGCCCCUCCGCUGCUUGCAUUCUCUCUCAAAAUAAAUAAAUAAACAUUUUAAAAAAAUUCUCUCCCUCUGCCCCUUCUCUACUUUCUCUCUAAAAAAUAGAAGUAAAAAGAAUUUAUAAAGUUCCCUAGACUAAACAGCUCUCUCCUCCAUUCAUUCCUUUUCCCUCAGCAGCAAGCAAAUACUUGUGCCUUUUCAAAACAGCUCAGCUUCACUUCUUUCAGUAAGAGAUUGAAUUCCCAAACAAACAGGCUUUCCUUCAGCCCUGCUCCCAGAAGACGUAGCACUACCUAACUUCUCAGAAUUCUGGAUUAAAUGUGCUCCUUUUUCACUGUACGCAGGGCGCACACAGUGCAGUUACUUGUGCACGGUUACUUCUGUUACUUAUGCCCCCUUCUCCUAGCACAUCCUAGGCCCUCAGAAUAUUUGUUGGAUACUCAAAUAAGGGGUUGAUGACAUCAGUGGUGUUCCCAGUCUUUUGGACUCUGUGGAUCAAUCCAGAUUCUCAAAAUAAUUUUGGAACCAGAACUGCAAUUUUAAAUUUUCACCAAGCUGUUAAAGACAAAAGACAACUGCCAUUUACUAUCAGCAUCACUUCAUUUUAAAUUAUUUUGACCUGCAAAAUAAAAAUAAGAUACCCUCUAAAAAGUCAAUUCUUUUAAAUCAGUCAACUUUAUGAAAACAUGCUUAGAACUUACUUUUCUUGUCUCACUGCAGACUAGUGAAAACUAGUGAUCAGUGAAAAUCAAUGAGUCCUUUUAAAUAUACUACUAAGUCUAAUAAACUCUUUAUUAAUUCUAUACUUUCUAGUAAAUUUGACUAAGUUUACUUCAUAGUUGGCAGUUCACUAGUUUAAAACCUUCCCAGUGGAAAAAGUUAUAGACCCGCAGGCUACCUACUCCAGAAUAAAAACCAAACUUGUCUUCUUCCUGGUCUGAUUCCUCUUCCUGCCCAAGGGUAAAAAGCCACAGGGGAGGUGUUAAUGAAGUCAGUUGCAUCUAGUUUCUUCUAGUAACACCAGCACCUAAGGGAUUUGUCAGAGGUACGUAUUUGAAUCCUCAACUAUGCUUUGUAAUAAAAGCUUUUUUUAAAAAAACGAUGUUCCUUGACAUUGUUACAUUAAAUGGUACAAUUAUCGGUUUUAAUUUAAUUAUGUUGAAUAAAAGACAGCACAGGACGUGUGAAAUCAGGUUAUUGGGUCUAAACCAUCUGAGAAUUUCAAAAUUCAGAUAAAAUGGAACAGAAAGAUGUCAGAAGACAUCAAAUCUAGUAAAGUGUCAAAUUGUUUCAUUAAUUUUCUUUUCAUCUGUGACUGAACUAUUAAAUUGAUCUAAUGAUUUUUAAA
Long non-coding RNA from Leopardus geoffroyi (Geoffroy's cat), 1853 nucleotides. RefSeq lists it as uncharacterized. The record is from RefSeq and is a predicted model, not a curated record. The transcript has 2 exons. Lineage: Eukaryota; Metazoa; Chordata; Mammalia; Carnivora; Felidae.